AGAUUGAACGCUGGCGGCAGGCUUAACACAUGCAAGUCGAGCGGAAACGAGAAAUAGCUUGCUAUUUCGGCGUCGAGCGGCGGACGGGUGAGUAAUGCUUGGGAAUAUGCCUUUAGGUGGGGGACAACAGUUGGAAACGACUGCUAAUACCGCAUAACGUCUACGGACCAAAGAGGGGGAUCUUCGGACCUCUCGCCUAUAGAUUAGCCCAAGUGAGAUUAGCUAGUUGGUGAGGUAAUGGCUCACCAAGGCGACGAUCUCUAGCUGGUUUGAGAGGAUGAUCAGCCACACUGGGACUGAGACACGGCCCAGACUCCUACGGGAGGCAGCAGUGGGGAAUAUUGCACAAUGGGCGCAAGCCUGAUGCAGCCAUGCCGCGUGUGUGAAGAAGGCCUUCGGGUUGUAAAGCACUUUCAGUUGUGAGGAAAGGGGUGUAGUUAAUAGCUGCAUCCUGUGACGUUAGCAACAGAAGAAGGACCGGCUAACUCCGUGCCAGCAGCCGCGGUAAUACGGAGGGUCCGAGCGUUAAUCGGAAUUACUGGGCGUAAAGCGUGCGUAGGCGGUUUGUUAAGUGAGAUGUGAAAUCCCGGGGCUCAACCUCGGAACUGCAUUUCAAACUGGCAAGCUAGAGUACUGUAGAGGGUGGUGGAAUUUCCAGUGUAGCGGUGAAAUGCGUAGAGAUUGGAAGGAACAUCAGUGGCGAAGGCGGCCACCUGGACAGAUACUGACGCUGAGGCACGAAAGCGUGUGGAGCAAACAGGAUUAGAUACCCUGGUAGUCCACGCCGUAAACGAUGUCAACUAACUGUCUGUAGACUUGAUCUGUGGGUAGUGAAGCUAACGCGAUAAGUUGACCGCCUGGGGAGUACGGCCGCAAGGUUA
This 881-nucleotide ribosomal RNA is filed under the name uncultured bacterium. RNAcentral describes it as "bacterial SSU rRNA". It matches the Rfam family "Bacterial small subunit ribosomal RNA", at positions 26 to 896 of the family's 1533-position model. The record is from RNAcentral.